Molecule: ribosomal RNA, 505 nt
Filed under: uncultured bacterium
Lineage: Bacteria
Description: partial 16S ribosomal RNA
Rfam family: Bacterial small subunit ribosomal RNA
Source: RNAcentral
GACGAACGCUGGCGGCGUGCCUAAUACAUGCAAGUAGAACGCACAGUUUAUACCGUAGCUUGCUACACCAUAGACUGUGAGUUGCGAACGGGUGAGUAACGCGUAGGUAACCUGCCUGGUAGCGGGGGAUAACUAUUGGAAACGAUAGCUAAUACCGCAUAAUAUUAAUUAUUGCAUGAUAAUUAAUUGAAAGGUGCAAUUGCACCACUACCAGAUGGACCUGCGUUGUAUUAGCUAGUAGGUGAGGUAACGGCUCACCUAGGCGACGAUACAUAGCCGACCUGAGAGGGUGAUCGGCCACACUGGGACUGAGACACGGCCCAGACUCCUACGGGAGGCAGCAGUAGGGAAUCUUCGGCAAUGGACGAAAGUCUGACCGAGCAACGCCGCGUGAGUGAAGAAGGUUUUCGGAUCGUAAAGCUCUGUUGUAAGAGAAGAACGGGUGUGAGAGUGGAAAGUUCACAAUGUGACGGUAUCUUACCAGAAAGGGACGGCUAACUACGUG